RNAcentral lists this transfer RNA (70 nucleotides) under Argentina striata (striated argentine). RNAcentral describes it as "tRNA-His". It matches the Rfam family "tRNA". From Rfam's summary of the family: Transfer RNA (tRNA) molecules are approximately 80 nucleotides in length. Their secondary structure includes four short double-helical elements and three loops (D, anti-codon, and T loops). The record is from RNAcentral. Lineage: Eukaryota; Metazoa; Chordata; Actinopteri; Argentiniformes; Argentinidae.
GUAGGUGUAGUUUUAUUUAAAACAUUAGAUUGUGAUUCCAAAAAUAGAGGUUAAACUCCUCUCACCCACC